GCGAAGCAACUACAGCGCGUCUGACUCCAGAUCAGAAGGUUGCGUGUUCAAAUCACGU
Molecule: transfer RNA, 58 nt
Filed under: Toxocara canis (dog roundworm)
Lineage: Eukaryota; Metazoa; Nematoda; Chromadorea; Rhabditida; Toxocaridae
Source: Rfam by way of RNAcentral